This 301-nucleotide ribosomal RNA is filed under the name uncultured bacterium. RNAcentral's name for it is "partial 16S ribosomal RNA". It matches the Rfam family "Bacterial small subunit ribosomal RNA", at positions 509 to 809 of the family's 1533-position model. The record is from RNAcentral.
CAGUCGCCGCGGUAAUACGGAGGGUGCAAGCGUUACUCGGAAUCACUGGGCGUAAAGCGCGCGUAGGUGGUUUGUUAAGUUGGAUGUGAAAUCCCCGGGCUCAACCUGGGAACUGCAUCCAAAACUGGCAAGCUAGAGUAUGGUAGAGGGUGGUGGAAUUUCCUGUGUAGCGGUGAAAUGCGUAGAUAUAGGAAGGAACACCAGUGGCGAAGGCGACCACCUGGACUGAUACUGACACUGAGGUGCGAAAGCGUGGGGAGCAAACAGGAUUAGAUACCCCUGUAGUCCCUGUCUCUUAUAA